UAUAUUUACUAUUCCUCACAAACAAGUAGCCGUUCGGGGGAUAGAGAGAGAGUGGUGGUUUUUUCACUGCGAUCAAGACGCAUUCGAUGAUCCAAACUGUAAGCAUUGCAAUAAAUCUGUUACUGGUCUGAUUCGAAUUCUUCGCCGAAGGGAUUUUCAUUGAUUCGGCUAAGAGAUUCACAAUUGGACCUGAUUCCAAACGUGGCCUUGCUCUCUUCUCGACGAUUGCUUGAUUGAGAAGACAAAAGGUCCUAACCUCCCUCAUCUCUCAACCCUCCUUCAUGGUGCUUCAUAUCUAUGCUGAGGUAUGAAGGGCAGAAAAAUUGUUUUGGGUAGAUAACUUUUUCUCUUCUAGUUGAACUUGAAUCACUUCUUUCGUAAGGAUAGGAGUACACAGGUUCUGACAAUGUGGCAGUGAAGUUUGUAAAGAUUGAUGAUAAAAGGUAAGUGUUACGUUUAUAUUUUGGAUUCAAGUCAGCUGGAAUAUUCAAGAUUUUGUUAUCUAUGUUUUGUUCUUUGAAACAUGUAUUUACUAUGCAUAUAUGAGGUGCUUUUCUUUCCUUUCUCACUCGUAGUUAAUUUUUAAGGCAUGUUAUGCUGUUAUAUGAUAGUUCCUUAAAGAUU
This is a long non-coding RNA of Juglans microcarpa x Juglans regia, 624 nucleotides long. RefSeq lists it as uncharacterized. Lineage: Eukaryota; Viridiplantae; Streptophyta; Magnoliopsida; Fagales; Juglandaceae. The transcript has 3 exons. The record is from RefSeq and is a predicted model, not a curated record.